This 68-nucleotide transfer RNA is filed under the name human gut metagenome. It matches the Rfam family "tRNA". From Rfam's summary of the family: Transfer RNA (tRNA) molecules are approximately 80 nucleotides in length. The record is from RNAcentral.
CAGGUAGCUCAGUAGGUAGAGCAAAGGACUGAAAAUCCUUGUGUCAUCAGUUCAAUUCUGAUUCUGGG